Molecule: non-coding RNA, 102 nt
Organism: Aspergillus steynii IBT 23096
Lineage: Eukaryota; Fungi; Ascomycota; Eurotiomycetes; Eurotiales; Aspergillaceae
Source: the annotation of a RefSeq genome assembly
GGGGUGAUAGCUCAGUUGGGAGAGCGCACGACUGAAGUUUACUCGGUCCAGUCAGGUCAUCUGGCAAUCGUGAGGUCACCGGUUCAAUCCCGGUUCAUCCCA